AGAUGAAAACAAAUAAUCAAAUUCAGAAAGCAAUACAAGCCUACUUGUAUUCGGUAAAGGGUCCUAAGGCUUAAAUAUAACUCAUUAGUGGUUCAUGGUGAGCUUAAUCUAACUAUUAAUGUGGCCCAAGGUUCAUUUGCAUGAUUUAACACAUACGGUACUUGAUAUAUUUCCGGUCGUAACUUAUUUCAUGUGAAAACCGUCAAAAACAUACAUAAGAUUUUCAAACAUAAGCUUUAACGAGUUAGCAAGAUUUUAGGAAGUCUACGGGAAGAAGAAAAUUUGCUUAUUUCGCCACUGAAAAUGUCAGAUUUUCCAGUGAAGAAUAACAAAUCUAAACAUCAAAUAAAUUAAAAUAUUACAUAAGUAGAACAGUUUACAAAGUCAGGAAAUGUACCGUACGUAGUAGACUUGUAUCUAUUCAUCUGCUAGCUGCUGUUUUGAUAUCAUGAAAAAAGAUGGAGCAUAUUUAUAAAUAUCACAAGUAAUACCAAGAGUUGUUUUUUCUUAAUUUUGAAAUUCAAAAAUAAAAAUGCCUAAAAGACGGACGUUAUGAACGUAGCAAAGAGAUGAUUUUAAAGGAAUUUCAAAUAUUUCAAGAAGGAAAUAAUGAUAGGAAGCUCCAGUGCAACUCAUUUUGUUGUUUGUUAUUAGAAAAUAUGAUUUAAGAAACAUGACUUCAUUUUCAUGCAUUUUUAGUGCUAAAAUGAUCUCUCACUUUAGAGGGAACUUUGGGAAGGUUUGUAGAAUUUGAACCAAUCAAAUAUUGGUUUAAUAAAUAGCAUUGUCCGUCAAACAUGAUUUCUAACUUCAAGCAACUAAAUGAGCCUUCACAUUAAUACAGAAAUAUGAGAAAACUUGUUCUGUAGUAACGUUGCUCACUUUUCUGUUUUAAAGCAGAAAAUAAGUGCAACUAAUAGGUUUGACUGAAAUAACUUGCUUAAUAUUCUAAAAACAAAGACCCCAAGUUUACAAAGUUUCAAGAGACAUCCUACGGGUUACUCAACUACUCAUCAUGAUUAUCAUUCGGCUUAUCACAACUACUAGCAUCGACUUAAUCAAUCCUCACUUUGAAUUUGUUCUUAGUGUGUGCAGAAUUAGGAGUUAAACCUAAUCAGCACAACUCUUUCCGCACAACUAUCCAAGUUGACAUUGGAUGCUCUAGGGGCAUGAUUUCACAGGUUUCAAAAUAUUAUUUCAGUUACCAACUUCCAAUUUGCUUUUAUAGCAUAAUGAAGUCAUUACACAGUGUAUAAUCAUUUCUUUAGUAUUUUCAUUGCACAAAGCAAAUUUUAAGAAUAUCCCAGGGAAAGGACUGUUUGUUAUUCCAUUACUUUUAUAACAUAAAAAUGUUACUGUCAUAAAAAUGAAAAAUACAGGAAAAUAAAAAGUGAAA
This is a long non-coding RNA of Dendrobium catenatum, 1396 nucleotides long. RefSeq lists it as uncharacterized. NCBI's taxonomy places the organism in Eukaryota, Viridiplantae, Streptophyta, Magnoliopsida, Asparagales, Orchidaceae. The transcript is spliced from 2 exons. The record is from RefSeq and is a predicted model, not a curated record.